This 269-nucleotide ribosomal RNA is filed under the name uncultured prokaryote. RNAcentral's name for it is "partial 16S ribosomal RNA". It matches the Rfam family "Bacterial small subunit ribosomal RNA", at positions 524 to 792 of the family's 1533-position model. The record is from RNAcentral.
UACGGAGGAUCCGAGCGUUGUCCGGAUUUACUGGGCGUAAAGGGAGCGUAGGCGGACUUUUAAGUGAGAUGUGAAAUACCCGGGCUUAACUUGGGUGCUGCAUUUCAAACUGGAAGUCUAGAGUGCAGGAGAGGAGAAUGGAAUUCCUAGUGUAGCGGUGAAAUGCGUAGAGAUUAGGAAGAACACCAGUGGCGAAGGCGAUUCUCUGGACUGUAACUGACGCUGAGGCUCGAAAGCGUGGGGAGCAAACAGGAUUAGAUACCCUGGUA